This is a long non-coding RNA of Eptesicus fuscus (big brown bat), 510 nucleotides long. RefSeq lists it as uncharacterized. The transcript is spliced from 3 exons. Lineage: Eukaryota; Metazoa; Chordata; Mammalia; Chiroptera; Vespertilionidae. The record is from RefSeq and is a predicted model, not a curated record.
UUCCCGCAGAGCACGUGAGGGGCCCACUUCCGGGUCCCCAGCGCGGGCGGCGCGCACACCUGGCGCAGCGUGCUGGCCGCGCCUCCUUCCACCUGCGGGUCCGCCACGGUGCGGCGGCCGGGCCUCACCCUCAGGGCCUCCAGUGACCCGGCAGAGGCCGGCGCGGCCCGGGCUGCCGGCCCCGGAAAGAGAGGAAAGGAGAGGGAUGAAGAGAGAGAAACAUCCAUGAGCAAAUGAAAAGAAACAAAACCUUAGGAGCUUAUUCCUUACCUGAGAAUCCUCUGCUAAGCUUCAGAUUGAGAUUUGUCCCUGCUCUGUGCCCUAAGAAUGAUCCAAAAGCAGUUCUCACUGUUCCAGGCCGGAUACAAUAUAUGUGAGUGAUUACAAGUGUGGGCCCGGUGCGGGGCGGGGGCCACUGGUAGGGGAAUGAGGAGACUUUAUUCCAACUCUGUCUCUAAUUAGCAGGGGUUUUUGGACACUGCUUUGAACUAACUCUGAGCCUCAGUUUCC